GUCUGUGGCCAUACCACCCCGAAUGUGUCUGAUCUCAUCUGAUCUUGGAAGCUAAGAAGGGUCAGGCCUGGUUAGUACUUGGAUGGGAGACAUUGAUAGGUUUCUAGCAUUAUGUUUU
Molecule: ribosomal RNA, 118 nt
Filed under: Prolemur simus (greater bamboo lemur)
Lineage: Eukaryota; Metazoa; Chordata; Mammalia; Primates; Lemuridae
Source: RNAcentral